This 416-nucleotide ribosomal RNA is filed under the name uncultured bacterium. RNAcentral describes it as "bacterial SSU rRNA". It matches the Rfam family "Bacterial small subunit ribosomal RNA", at positions 366 to 774 of the family's 1533-position model. The record is from RNAcentral.
GGACAAUGGGCGCAAGCCUGAUCCAGCAAUGCCGCGUGCAGGAUGAAGGCCUUCGGGUUGUAAACUGCUUUUGUACGGAACGAAAAAGCUCUCUCUAAUACAGGGGGUGAAUGACGGUACCGUAAGAAUAAGCACCGGCUAACUACGUGCCAGCAGCCGCGGUAAUAAGUAGGGUGCAAGCGUUAAUCGGAAUUACGGGGCGUAAAGCGUGCGCAGGCGGGUUUGUAAGACAGAGGUGAAAUACCCGGGCUCAACCUGGGCACUGCCUUUGUGACGGCAAAGCUGGAGUGCGGCAGAGGGGGAUGGAAUUCCGCGUGUAGCAGGGAAAUGCGUAGAUAUGCGGAGGAACACCGAUGGCGAAGGCAAUCCCCUGUGCCUGCACUGACGCUCAUGCACGAAAGCGUGGGGAGCAAACA